GUUCUGACUGCUGCGAAUUCUUUCUCUGAACAGAGCUACAGUGUCUAAGAGCUCUGUAAUUGAAGUGAUAACUACAGUCUUCUCUUCAAGAGCUGAGAAAAGAGAUUUUGAUUGAUGCCUUCCCUCUCCGAGGUGCAUAUGUCAUUCUGAAUUCUCUGCCCUGUUGGGAAUGCUAUGAAAAAGGUGAUAGUAUUAAUAGUGAAAAUGAUGAUACUAAUUAUGUUACAUUUGAAUGUUUACUAUGUAAUGUAUACUGUGCCUAAACCUGUAUAUGCAUUAUCUCCUUUAAUCUUUACAAUAUCACCAGGAAUUAAACAAUAGUAUUAUUUGUAUUUUAUAGUAGAAAAACUGAUAUUCAAGUAAUUGGUGUAGUUAAGAUUGAUAGCCUGGAGUCCAUACUCUAAAGUACAAUGAUCAUAUCUCAGAAAUGAUGUUCAACAUGAAAAAAUAUUGUUAAUGUGCUUGAUAAUUUUUAGUUUAGCGACCACUAAUUAAUUUUUAUCACUUUUUAUGUCAGUAAUGUACUUUUCCCAAUACAUGUAAUUGUACUUGACCGUAAUGAAUUAUCAUAACAGAAGAGCACACACACACAGAUGUUAUUACAAACUAGCACAUAUAUUAGUUGGACUAGUUUAGUCUAUUAAUAUAAAAUUACACUUAAGAAAAAGUUACAUAUUAUGCAUUUAUGCACAGUUACAUAUAUGCACAGUACUUGAUUAAUAUUUAAUCAAAAUGUUGGUUCAUUUCAAUUGAUUCUUAUAGUUGCUUUUUUUGAUCAUAUGAAAAGUGAGAAAACGCACAUGGUUUUGCAGUUACUCUAUUAAUUCACAAUAAUGUGGACAAUUUCUAUGUUAAAAAUUGUACACGAUUGAUUUAAAAUGAAAAGGCCAACCUAAGUAUUAAUCAGCUAAAACUAUCAUAGUCAGUGUAAAAUGAAUUUAAUGUCCUUAUUUUACAUCCUAUGGAAAAAUUGACUUGUGACAGCAUUUUAUACAUUGAAAAGCUGAAAUACUACUAAAAUACAGAAUGAAACAAAGAAAAGCAACUCAUAAUGGCUACACAGAUCAAUUGACUCAAUCGAAGCCAAAAUACUUUACACUAUAAGCAUUAACUUGGAUAUUUCCAGUAUGCUAAGAUUUUUACAUGGCUAAAAAUGAAAAAGCGAGUUCACUACAUUGCCUCAGUUUCAAAUUUUUAAGUUUCCAAUUCUAUCCAGCUACUCUUAAUGAACAUCUUAGUAAUUGUAUUAUUGGAAAUAGGGCGCAUAAUUGUGCUAUCAGAGUGCAAAAAUAAAAUUGCACAUGCACAGCAAGUCAUAAGUAAUAAUAGGAUUAAGCAGAUCAGAGGAUACAAAGUCUGGGAGACUAUUUAGACAAGAGGAAUUCAAUGGGGUAUGGCAAACUUAAGCAGUCAGCAGGUUUGAAGUCAAAGUUCUAGAUCCAGGAAGUGCAGGAAAUUUGAUUAGCCAUAAAAUUAGGAAGGCAUGGUAGUUUGGGGUUUGAAUCCGAGGACUGGAAAUCCAUCAGUAUAGAAGAAUAGAUAGGUCUGGAAUAUCCAGUUAUUCCACUGAAUGCAGACAAACAUUCAGAAUGAUAAUGAGGAAGGGAGAGGGGAGGGGAGGAAAAGGAAAAGGGUCUCAAUAUCAGAACAUCAGGGAUGCUAAAUGAAUUUGGCUCUGUUGAGUAAACCUGAGAUUUUUUUCCUGGUAAUUAUAACAGUGUUAUUAAAAAUGCAAAGACAAUAAAGUCCUCACAGGUUUAUAACCAAGGGUAGAUAAAGGUACUAGAUCCUUGUGAGCUUGUAUAAAUUUUCAAAGCUCUCAACUAAAAUUUGAUG
Molecule: long non-coding RNA, 1836 nt
Organism: Equus caballus (horse)
Lineage: Eukaryota; Metazoa; Chordata; Mammalia; Perissodactyla; Equidae
Source: Ensembl